UUAGGUGAGCAUAGAUAAUACUGAUAGGUAAACAUGAAAGACUCUUCGUCAUAGUCCACAAAUAAAUAUGUUCCGUGAAAGGGAAAAGGACCAUUAGAGAACAAAGGACUAAGAACGGCGAGUGUUUCCUAUUGUGGGUCGUCUUUUUUGACGUCAAAGCUAAGCACCUCAGGAAAAUGAAGAGUGGUGAAGACAAGAAUUCUAGGGCCCAUAGUUGCAUAAGAUAAGUGGACACCGUCUUAUACUCAUGAAUUUUCUUCAUACAGAGCUGGUCCAAAUCACUCAUAUAAGGAGCUAGGAUAUCUUUUGAAAAACCAAAGAUGAGUGUGGCGAGUGGUAUGGGGUUUCACAUUGCCUGCAAAAAGAAUUUUGGAUCAGAAGACACUGUAACCCAUAAAGUCGGGAAUAUACUCUCUAGCCAUAGAAACCAUAAAUCGUAAUUUACUAUUGCCUUUAAAACAACUCAAGCAUUUGUCUCUGAAUGAAAAAUUCCUAAAAUAGUUAGGAUUGGGACUAAGGUAGGACUAUAACGAUGAUAACAAAUCGCUCAAUGCAAUGGUAUGGUUAACGUAAGAAACAACCAUUUGCUUCAACUCCAUUGAACAUAUAUACAAGGACCUCUCCCGUCCUGCCAGAUCUUCCAUGCCGCCGCCGCUGCCUUCAUUCCCCUUGAGCUUGUUGUUGCUUACGCAUGCAUUCCCCUUAAACUAAUAUAGAUUUUGCUUUGAAGUUUUAGUACAUUUAGUAAUGAAAAAA
RNAcentral lists this long non-coding RNA (756 nucleotides) under Prunus persica (peach). Its description in RNAcentral is "long non-coding RNA (PPER_LNC006435)". Lineage: Eukaryota; Viridiplantae; Streptophyta; Magnoliopsida; Rosales; Rosaceae. The record is from RNAcentral.